AUUGAACGCUGGUGGAAUGCUUUACACAUGCAAGUCGAACGGUAGAGGGGGCAACCCCUCGAGAGUGGCGAACGGGUGAGUAAUAUAUCGGAACGUGCCCAGUCGUGGGGGAUAACGUAGCGAAAGUUACGCUAAUACCGCAUACGAUCUAAGGAUGAAAGCGGGGGAUCGCAAGACCUCGCGCGAUUGGAGCGGCCGAUAUCAGAUUAGGUAGUUGGUGGGGUCAAGGCUCACCAAGCCAACGAUCUGUAGCUGGUCUGAGAGGACGACCAGCCACACGGGAACUGAGAAACGGUCCAGACUCCUACGGGAGGCAGCAGUGGGGAAUUUUGGACAAUGGACGCAAGUCUGAUCCAGCCAUUCCGCGUGCAGGAUGAAGGCCCUCGGGUUGUAAACUGCUUUUGUACGGAACGAAAAGGUCUCUCUUAAUACGGGGGACUCAUGACGGUACCGUAAGAAUAAGCACCGGCUAACUACGUGCCAGCAGCCGCCGCUG
Molecule: ribosomal RNA, 496 nt
Filed under: uncultured bacterium
Lineage: Bacteria
Description: partial 16S ribosomal RNA
Rfam family: Bacterial small subunit ribosomal RNA
Source: RNAcentral